This 324-nucleotide ribosomal RNA is filed under the name uncultured eukaryote. RNAcentral describes it as "partial 18S ribosomal RNA". It matches the Rfam family "Eukaryotic small subunit ribosomal RNA", at positions 1470 to 1796 of the family's 1831-position model. The record is from RNAcentral.
CCCUUAGAUGCUCUGGGCCGCACGCGCGCUACACUGGUCGAUGCAACGAGUUUCUCUCCUUGGCCGACAGGCCUGGGCAAUCUUUGAACAUCGAUCGUGAUCGGGAUAGAUUCUUGUAAUUUUUGAUCUUAAACGAGGAAUUCCUAGUAAACGCAAGUCAUCAGCUUGCAUUGAUUACGUCCCUGCCCUUUGUACACACCGCCCGUCGCACCUACCGAUUGAAUGGUCCGGUGAAAUCUCCGGACUGGCGUGAGUCGGAGCAAUCUGACAAACACCGGAAAGUUGAUUAAACCUUACCAUUUAGAGGAAGGUGAAGUCGUAACA